Molecule: ribosomal RNA, 589 nt
Filed under: uncultured bacterium
Lineage: Bacteria
Description: bacterial SSU rRNA
Rfam family: Bacterial small subunit ribosomal RNA
Source: RNAcentral
CCUACGGGAGGCAGCAGUGGGGAAUUUUGGACAAUGGGCGAAAGCCUGAUCCAGCCAUUCCGCGUGAGUGAAGAAGGCCUUCGGGUUGUAAAGCUCUUUCGCAAGGGAAGAAAACUUAGAUACUAAUAUUAUCUGAGGUUGACGGUACCUUGAUAAGAAGCACCGGCUAACUACGUGCCAGCAGCCGCGGUAAUACGUAGGGUGCGAGCGUUAAUCGGAAUUACUGGGCGUAAAGCGUGCGCAGGCGGUUUUGUAAGUCAGAUGUGAAAUCCCCGAGCUCAACUUGGGAACUGCGUUUGAAACUACAAGACUAGAAUAUGUCAGAGGGGGGUAGAAUUCCACGUGUAGCAGUGAAAUGCGUAGAGAUGUGGAGGAAUACCAAUGGCGAAGGCAGCCCCCUGGGAUAAUAUUGACGCUCAUGCACGAAAGCGUGGGGAGCAAACAGGAUUAGAUACCCUGGUAGUCCACGCCCUAAACGAUGUCUACUAGUUGUUGGUGGAGUAAAAUCCAUGAGUAACGNAGCUAACGCGUGAAGUAGACCGCCUGGGGAGUACGGUCGCAAAGNUUAAAACUCAAAGGAAUUGACCGG